Molecule: ribosomal RNA, 690 nt
Filed under: Triticum aestivum (bread wheat)
Lineage: Eukaryota; Viridiplantae; Streptophyta; Magnoliopsida; Poales; Poaceae
Description: partial small subunit ribosomal RNA
Source: RNAcentral
AUGGCCCAGCACCUGCUCGUGGCGGCAGAUAGGUAUAAUCUCGAAAGGCUAAAGUUGAUCUGGGAGGACAUGUUGUGCGGCAACAUUGACAAGAGCACGGUGGCGACCACCCUGACACUAGCCGAGCAGCAUGGCUGUUGUGGCCUCAAGGAGGCGUGCUUCAACUUCCUCAGUCGGAUUCCGGGCAACCUUGAGGCCGUCAUGGCGAGCGAUGACUUUCAGCACCUUAAGACAAGCUGCCCUUCCCUCGUGCAGAUCAUCAUCGACCAGGCCACCGCCGUAUCCGGAUCACACGUUCUCAAGAUAGACGGCUACUCCCAAACCAAAGGGCUCGGUAAUGGCAGAUGCGUCACGUCCAUGGUGUUCGUCAUCGGAGGCCGUCACUGGAGUAUGCAAUACUACCCCGACGGCCAAACCUCAGAGGACGCCGGCUGGAUAUCCAUCGUCAUCAUGUGUAAUUACACCUGUGAUGAUGAUGAAGGCGCUGUCAAAGCGCGGUACGAGAUCAAUUUGCUCGGCCAGGACAGAAACCCGGUGCCAGUGUGCAGUAGGGCUAGCAGUUCACCACGCGAAUUCUCCCAUGGGCGAGGACAUGGUGGGAAGCUCAUCGAGAGGAGCGUCUUGGAGGGAUCCGGCUACCUGAAAGACGAUGCUUUCAGUGUAAGGUGUGAUAUCACCAUCUUAGAGUAA